GAUGAACGCUGGCGGCGUGCCUAAUACAUGCAAGUCGAGCGAACAGACGAUGAGCUUGCUCCUCUGACGUUAGCGGCGGACGGGUGAGUAACACGUGGAUAACCUACCUAUAAGACUGGGAUAACUUCGGGAAACCGGAUCUAAUACCGGAUAAUAUAUUGAACCGCAUGGUUCAAUAGUGAAAGACGGUUUUGCUGUCACUUAUAGCUGGAUCCGCGCCGCAUUAGCUAGUUGGUAAGAUAACGGCUUACCAAGGCAACGAUGCGUAGCCGACCUGAGAGGGUGAUCGGCCACACUGGAACUGAGACACGGUCCAGACUCCUACGGGAGGCAGCAGUAGGGAAUCUUCCGCAAUGGGCGAAAGCCUGACGGAGCAACGCCGCGUGAGUGAUGAAGGUCUUCGGAUCGUAAAACUCUGUUAUUAGGGAAGAACAAAUGUGUAAGUAAAUAUGCACGUAUUGACGGUACCUAAUCAGAAAGCCACGGCUAACUACGUG
Molecule: ribosomal RNA, 497 nt
Filed under: uncultured bacterium
Lineage: Bacteria
Description: partial 16S ribosomal RNA
Rfam family: Bacterial small subunit ribosomal RNA
Source: RNAcentral